This 464-nucleotide ribosomal RNA is filed under the name uncultured bacterium. RNAcentral's name for it is "partial 16S ribosomal RNA". It matches the Rfam family "Bacterial small subunit ribosomal RNA", at positions 339 to 795 of the family's 1533-position model. The record is from RNAcentral.
CUACGGGUGGCACCAGUGGGGAAUAUUGCACAAUGGGCGCAAGCCUGAUGCAGCCACGCCGCGUGUAUGAAGAAGGCCUUCGGGUUGUAAAGUACUUUCAGCGGGGAGGAAGGGAGUAAAGUUAAUACCUUUGCUCAUUGACGUUACCCGCAGAAGAAGCACCGGCUAACUCCGUGCCAGCAGCCGCGGUAAUACGGAGGGUGCAAGCGUUAAUCGGAAUUACUGGGCGUAAAGCGCACGCAGGCGGUUUGUUAAGUCAGAUGUGAAAUCCCCGGGCUCAACCUGGGAACUGCAUCUGAUACUGGCAAGCUUGAGUCUCGUAGAGGGGGGUAGAAUGCCAGGUGUAGCGGUGAAAUGCGUAGAGAUCUGGAGGAAUACCGGUGGCGAAGGCGGCCCCCUGGACGAAGACUGACGCUCAGGUGCGAAAGCGUGGGGAGCAAACAGGAUUAGAUACCCUAGUAGUC